GACGAACGCGGGCGGCGUGCUUAACACAUGCAAGUCGAACGAAGAGCGAUGGAAGCUUGCUUCUAUCAAUCUUAGUGGCGAACGGGUGAGUAACGCGUAAUCAACCUGCCCUUCAGAGGGGGACAACAGUUGGAAACGACUGCUAAUACCGCAUACGAUCUAAUCUCGGCAUCGAGGAUAGAUGAAAGGUGGCCUCUACAUGUAAGCUAUCACUGAAGGAGGGGAUUGCGUCUGAUAGCUAGUUGGAGGGGUAACCGGCCCACCAAGGCGAUGAUCAGUAGCCGGUCUGAGAGGAUGAACGGCCACAUUGGGACUGAGACACGGCCCAGAUCCUACGGGAGGCAGCAGUGGGGAAUCUUCCGCAAUGGACGAAACUCUGACGGAGCAACGCCGCUGAGUGAUGACGGCCUUCGGGUUGUAAAGCU
This 425-nucleotide ribosomal RNA is filed under the name Veillonella parvula. RNAcentral's name for it is "bacterial SSU rRNA". It matches the Rfam family "Bacterial small subunit ribosomal RNA", at positions 28 to 432 of the family's 1533-position model. The record is from RNAcentral. Lineage: Bacteria; Bacillati; Bacillota; Negativicutes; Veillonellales; Veillonellaceae.